ACACGCAUGACACACUGCAUAUCAAUAAGCGGAGGAAAAGAAACUAACUAGGAUUCCCUUAGUAACGGCGAGUGAAGCGGGAAGAGCUCAAAUUUGAAAUCUUCAAGGUUCUACCUUGACGAAUUGUAGUUUAAAGAAGUGUUUUCUGUUGGAGUUUUGGUAAAAGUUCUUUGGAAUAGGACAUCAUAGAGGGUGAGAAUCCCGUAUUUGACCAUUUCUUCCAGCUGUGUGAUACACUUUCAAAGAGUCGGAUUGUUUGGGAAUGCAGUCCAAAAUGGGUGGUAAAUUUCAUCUAAAGCUAAAUAUUGGCGAGAGACCGAUAGCGAACAAGUACCGUGAGGGAAAGAUGAAAAGAACUUUGAAAAGAGAGUUAAACAGUACGUGAAAUUGUCAAAAGGGAAGCGUUUGACACCAGUGUUGUUUUUCCGAAAAUCAAUUACGAAUGUUUUAUUUUUGAGGAGUUAUGACUUCAUCGGCUUGCUUCUCUUCUUUAUGGAAACUUUCUUAAUGCACUUUUCGGUUAACAAGUCAACAUCAAUUUCUUUUGUUGUAAAAGAGUAUGAGGAAGGUGGCUUUCUUUUCGGAGAAAGUGUUUAUAGCCUUGUACUUCUGCAAUCGGAGAGAUUGAGGUCUGCAGCGUAGAUCCUUCGGGGUUAGAUACAUUUGUGCUAAGUUAUAGCUUUUCAUAGACAACUUGUUGACUAUGUUUAGUCUUGUAGCUUACUCGCUUAUGCUAUUUUACCUACGCUUAGGAUGUUGAAGAUGUAGCACAUCAU
Molecule: ribosomal RNA, 776 nt
Filed under: uncultured Neocallimastigales
Lineage: Eukaryota; Fungi; Neocallimastigomycota; Neocallimastigomycetes; Neocallimastigales
Description: partial large subunit ribosomal RNA
Rfam family: Eukaryotic large subunit ribosomal RNA
Source: RNAcentral